UUUUUUUUUUUUUUUUGUUUUGUUUUGUUUUGUUUUUUGUAGACAGGGUCUUGCUAUGUUGCCCAGACUGGUCUUGAACCCCUGGGCUCAAGCAAGCCUCCUGCCUUAGCCUCCCAAAGUGCUCAGAUUAUAGGCAUGAGCCACCACGCCCAGCCUAGGUAGGAUAUAAUUUUACAGACGGGAAAAGGAGGCUUGGAAGGUUAACUAACUUCCCCAGAGUCACAAAGCCAGUAAGGCAUGGCUGUAGGAGUUGAACCCAGUUUGUCAGACUCCAAAGCCCGUGAUGUUCUCUUACCUGUUCUUUGACCUGAGGCAAAGAUCCCAAGAAGUAGCAAGCAGGCUUAGGAGUGAGUCCUUCAGGUAGAGGGUGGACUACAUAAGCCCUAAGUCCCUCCACUUCCCAGAUUCUUCUCUGUGAGCUGCUUUAGGGAAGGCUCGGGAUCACACAGGUGUCUUCUUUGACUUCAUAGCACAUAUGCUUCUAGGCUGCUACCCCACCCUCAAUAUGUCCCUUCUUAUAAACUUGCUCAACUUCCAGCUCUGAUCUGGCCUCAGGUCAGAGCUCUGUGAAGGCACAACAGUAAAUCCCAACUCAUCCCCAGAUCACUGCCCUGUACCUCUGCUACUCUUCAUUGACCUCAAACUAAGAAUAGUUAAAAAGAGAAGCAAAAUGUGAAGUGCUAUGCAGAUAUGUAUGUGGACGUUGUUUUGGGAGAAAAAAGUAACUCUUGGAUUGGUAAAGAUCAGACAUGGGACCUAACAGGAGAAGAAUCCAGCCAGUAUUCCUAGCCAAGUAGACAGCGCCUGAAAUCUCAGCGACACAGAGCUGUGUGUGUGUGUGCUCAGACAUGAGAAAAAGCCUGUGUCAGCAUUUAAUAUCUACAAAUUUCCCCCUCAGCUGCCUCAACUUCAGGGCAGUUUCUAAGUCAGGAUGGAAAGACGGAAGGUGGGUUUUAGACCAAAGGGCAUCUCCCAGAGUGAUUCACUGACUCGGGUUUCUCUCCUGGGGGGUGAGGGUGGCAACAGAACUGAGAAGCUGCCUCCUUCUUGGCCUCUUCCCAGACGUCGGUGUGGCAACCCCUGCUGCAACAUCAGUGGCUACCUUUAUUGUCUGUUUCUUCUUCUAAAAUAAUCAAGUUAUGUUCAAAUGUUAAUGGCAGCAUAAAGGGAAGAGAAGGAAAAUAACUUCUUGAGCCAGAAGAGUGGAGCUGACAUGUUAAUAUCAGGGAUAGAGUGGAGCCUUUCAGUUGUAGAAAUGAAAGCAGACCUUUAGAAACAUAUCCUCAGUUAGGGAGAUUAAGGUGAUGGGACAAUGGCUAGGGAAAAAAAUAGCCCUAAAUAAUUACUUCCCAUUCGCUUUCCAUAUUUUUAAAGCUUUGGAAAGCAUAAACGUAAUGCAAAGUGUCUCUAUUUCCUCGGGUUGGACUCUGCUGGCCUGAGAGCCAGGCCCUCUGACUUUCAGUGUUUCCUUUGUCUUUUAAUUCUCCCGCUAAAAUUUCAAAGCCUUUCACAGCCUUGGCUUCAGGUAUUUGUGACUGAAGCAAUUCCCAUUCAUGGCCAAGCCUCAUUCUCUUCUCCAAAUCUGGUAACUUGAACAGCCCUGAUCCAAGCCCCUGGUUCUAGUAAGACGCUUGUUCUCUGGCCCCUCUUUCAGUCUAUUUCACAGAGCAGUCAGCUGCUUCUUGCUCCUCAUAAACUUGGUUUCCUUCCUAUAUAUUGCAUCCUCUCAUCUGCCUGAUGAAAACCAAGUCCCAGUGACAUGUUUCUAGCCUAAUUUUUGUCCUGAACUCCAUGUUGGUAUUACCUUUUCUCCCUCAGUCUUCAUCAUUAGUAAGCAGCACCACUAGGUACCCACUCAAGCCAAAACUUGGAUUACACCCUCUCUCUCAUGUCUCCUCCCCAAUCCAACUGCAAAGCCCUACUAAGUCUACCUCUAAAGUAUUCAGCUGAUUUACUUACUCAUGUCUCUGCAUCUCCACAGCCACCAGCACUGUCCACGUCACAUUGCUCUCAUCUGUCUCCAUGCUGCUUCUCCUGCUCUCCUACAAUUUGUUCUCCCAAGAAGCCAAGAGUCAUCGUCAUCUUUUAAAAGUUAAUUCACCAACAUUUACUACCUACUCUGCUUUGUCCAGCACUGUAUCCUCAUCACCCUAAACAGUGCCCCAAACAUUAGACAUUGCUUAGUAAAUAAGAAAUGACCGUUGGACAUCUAUAUUGGAUUUCCCAUCCGUAUCUAAAUCAUCACAGGGCCAAUGCUAAAACUUUCUCCCAUAAAGUCCCAGCUCAUAUAUUUCUAUUUUCUGGUCACGUAGACAUAAAACCUCAAGAGUUUUUAGUACUUUCACAUAAGCUCAAUGGUAUUAAAUCAUUAAAGAUUUCACUUCCACAAACUUUCUCAUAUCAUUUCCCUCUUUUUCAAUUAUCACUGCCUAUACUUAUUAACUGAGUAAUCACAGCAAUUUUCUAAUUGGUCCUUCUAUGUUCUGAAGCAUCAAUCUUUCUAAACUGCAGCUAAUAAAAAACAAAACUACUCUGAUUUUUUUUUUUCACAGAAUACCUCAGUCUGGCAUUCAAGGCUCUUCAAAGCCUUACUUUCCACUUCGUUCCUACACAUACCCCAAUGGAACUAUUCACUGUUCUCUGGGCAAGUUCGGCCCCUUUUCUCCCAUGUCUUUUCAUUCCCAGUUACUACAGUGUCUGGCACAUAAUGGCUCAAUAAAUGUUUGUUGAAUGCCUUCUUGUUGAAAUGCUGCUCACACUACAACGGUUCAUCUUAAACACUACUUUCUUCAUGAAAACCCUAACGGCCCUCAUCCACAGGUCUUUCCCCUUCCUUUUCUAGUCCUUAUGGCACUUAAACCUUUCACUGCUAUGUAUCAUGGCCACGCGCAAGUGUCUCACUCUUCUGUGAGCCUGUAAGCUGGCAGAAAUGUUUCUUUGCUUUUGUGUCUGUUGCAGUAUCUCAAUCUCCCCACCCCACCCCCAACAGCAGAUACCUAAUAAAAGUUUGACUUUAACCACUGUAACUCUAAUUCUAGAAUUCCACUUUGUUCUUCUUUAUGGAUUCUUUGCUUAGGAAAGAUAACAUUUCCCCCUCCAUUAGCAUAGUGGUGUUUCUUAGGUUUUAAAUAUCCAAAGCCAAUGGGUGGGUGAGUGUAUGAGCCCCCGAACAAUGUCUCUUCCCAAGCUGCCAAACAAAAUGUCACAAUGGUCCUUGGUCUUAUGGUCAUCAGUUAAGGAACCAAAGCAUGUGGUCAGAAGUUGUAAAAAUAAUAAUAAAUGAAGCUUUAUAAAAAAAUUAAAACGUCUCACCCACUACAAAUGCUGAGCUUUUCAGACCAGAGUCAGCUCAUAAACAAAUGUACAGAGAGGAACAGGUACUCUUGAGAGCAGGUAAUUAGGCCCCAGCACCUCAGAUGCCUCUGUAAAAGCAAAAGGCAGUAGGAUCACCCUUCUUCUCAAGAGUGUGGGAGCACAGGAGAGUAAGGCCACCCACAGUGCCUAGUUUUGCGCUGGCCAUUCAACAGUCAUAAUGUGUUCCUUUCAGUCCAGAUCCCAAAGAGAAAAACUUUCCCGAUUUACCUGAAAAAGUAUAUACAUGUUGCUGGGGGUGGGGAGGAGGGGCCAUUGCUAAGAUCUGUACCAAAAGCUCUGCCAGGCUCUAUCUGCAUGGCUAAGAAAGGAAUCCUGUGAAUCUUCAAAGGAUUUUUGUGCAAGCUUGCAGAUGGGAGGGGUAAGCUCAGUCACCUCUGAGAUCUGAAGGAGAAGAAGGAAUUUUCAAAGGAGCCACUGGGAAGAGAACUAAAAACAAAGGGGCUUCCGUGGCUUCUUUCCUCACCCUUCUCCAUUCCCUGCCCUCAAAAAACUGUCCCACUAGUUACCUGGGAAAACUGGUUACAUGUUUCUUCUUCUUUUCAGACUGACUACUCUAACUCAAAUCUCAAAGGUCCCUCUUCACUUCUUCCCACACAACCCAAAGGAUUUGUAGUCUAGGAAACCAAAGAAGUGUUUGAUCAAUAAAUCAAUUUAUUUAAAAGAAUAUGUUACAAUUAAUUACACUAAGUGACAUUACCAAACAAUUUUAGAGUGGUUAGCUCUAGAACAAGGAAUGAAAGAAACACUGUUAGCCAUUAUUGUGUCUGUGUAUUUUCUCUUCACAUUUCUUAAAUCACAAAUAAAAAAUACAAGAUACUGCAGUGAAAAUACAAUUAGAGUUUCUCUGAAAUAAAUUAAAUGUGCAUGGCCUGGGAAAAACUGAAGCCCAGCUCACUGGCUUAAAAGGGGGUCAUGAUAUAAAAUUAAUGUCCAAGUUUAGCAGGUGGCCAAGUGCCUCCACCCCAUAUCACUCCCCUCUUUGAUUCUAUUCCUUCCCACAGCCCUGACCUU
This 4386-nucleotide long non-coding RNA is filed under the name Macaca fascicularis (crab-eating macaque). RNAcentral's name for it is "lncRNA (ENSMFAG00000059837.1)". Lineage: Eukaryota; Metazoa; Chordata; Mammalia; Primates; Cercopithecidae. The record is from RNAcentral.